Molecule: ribosomal RNA, 663 nt
Filed under: uncultured Clostridium sp.
Lineage: Bacteria; Bacillati; Bacillota; Clostridia; Eubacteriales; Clostridiaceae
Description: bacterial SSU rRNA
Rfam family: Bacterial small subunit ribosomal RNA
Source: RNAcentral
AGCGGCGGACGGGUGAGUAACGCGUGGGUAACCUGCCCUGUACACACGGAUAACAUACCGAAAGGUAUGCUAAUACGGGAUAACAUAAGAAAGUCGCAUGGCUUUCUUAUCAAAGCUUUUGCGGUACAGGAUGGACCCGCGUCUGAUUAGCUAGUUGGUAAGGUAACGGCUUACCAAGGCGACGAUCAGUAGCCGACCUGAGAGGGUGAUCGGCCACAUUGGAACUGAGACACGGUCCAAACUCCUACGGGAGGCAGCAGUGGGGAAUAUUGCACAAUGGGCGAAAGCCUGAUGCAGCAACGCCGCGUGAGCGAUGAAGGCCUUCGGGUCGUAAAGCUCUGUCCUCAAGGAAGAUAAUGACGGUACUUGAGGAGGAAGCCCCGGCUAACUACGUGCCAGCAGCCGCGGUAAUACGUAGGGGGCUAGCGUUAUCCGGAAUUACUGGGCGUAAAGGGUGCGUAGGCGGUCUUUCAAGUCAGAAGUGAAAGGCUACGGCUCAACCGUAGUAAGCUUUUGAAACUGUAAGACUUGAGUGCAGGAGAGGAGAGUGGAAUUCCUAGUGUAGCGGUGAAAUGCGUAGAUAUUAGGAGGAACACCAGUUGCGAAGGCGGCUCUCUGGACUGUAACUGACGCUGAGGCACGAAAGCGUGGGGAGCAAACAGG